This is a long non-coding RNA of Melopsittacus undulatus (budgerigar), 203 nucleotides long. RefSeq lists it as uncharacterized. The transcript is spliced from 3 exons. The record is from RefSeq and is a predicted model, not a curated record. NCBI's taxonomy places the organism in Eukaryota, Metazoa, Chordata, Aves, Psittaciformes, Psittaculidae.
GGCGCUCGCUGCUCCCGGAGCUGGUCCGGAUGGUUCCAUGGCCCCGCGGCAUGGGGGGACCCCACAGCGAGGAGCAGGUGCUGGAGAAUGUGCUGGGAUACAUCCGGUACCUGCGGAGCAGCGUGAGCAGAGCGCGGGGGGGGGCAGCCCCCCCCAUUAGAGACCCUGUGGACGUGGGACCAAGUGCUGGGGCCACACCAAGG